Molecule: unclassified non-coding RNA, 252 nt
Filed under: Hevea brasiliensis (rubber tree)
Lineage: Eukaryota; Viridiplantae; Streptophyta; Magnoliopsida; Malpighiales; Euphorbiaceae
Source: RNAcentral
ACCUUUUUUUUUUUUUCUUUCUAAAGAAAAUAACCGUAGGAGCUUAUGUCAUCUUACAUGCAACAUGACAAGUAAGCGGAUGUCUCUUUGGAAUGCAGCCUACCCGUUGCUGACUUGUCAUAAACUCCAAAAUUUGCAUGAACUGCCAUUUCUAUUUACGAGUCACUCCUAGUCAAGUUAUUGAGUUGGCUUGGAAAUGGGGAGUUGCUGAUUCUUUGUUGUAAUCCUUGAUUGCAGGCCCAACUUCAGUUG